AUCGAACGCUGGCGGCAGGCCUAACACAUGCAAGUCGAACGAGUGGCAGACGGGUGAGUAAUGUCUGUGAAACUGCUCGAUGGAGGGGGAUAACUUCUGGAAACGGUUGUUAAUACCGCAAACCAUCGGAUGUGCCCAGAUGGGAUUAGCUAGUAGGGGGGGUAACGGCUCACCUAGGCGACGAUCCCUAGCUGGUCGGAGAGGAUGCCCAGCCACCCGGGAACGUGGACACGGUCCAGACUCCUACGGGAGGCAGCAGUGGGGAAUAUUGCGCAAGGGGCGCAAGCCUGAUGCAGCCAUGCCGCGUGUAUGGAGAAGGCCUUGGGGUUGUAAAGUACUUUCGGCGAGGAGGCGUUACUCGCAGAAGAAGCACCGGCUAACUCCGUGCCAGCAGCCGCGGUAAUAC
RNAcentral lists this ribosomal RNA (406 nucleotides) under uncultured bacterium. RNAcentral describes it as "partial 16S ribosomal RNA". It matches the Rfam family "Bacterial small subunit ribosomal RNA", at positions 30 to 526 of the family's 1533-position model. The record is from RNAcentral.